Molecule: transfer RNA, 74 nt
Filed under: Pirellula sp. SH-Sr6A
Lineage: Bacteria; Pseudomonadati; Planctomycetota; Planctomycetia; Pirellulales; Pirellulaceae
Description: tRNA-Val
Rfam family: tRNA
About the family: Transfer RNA (tRNA) molecules are approximately 80 nucleotides in length. Their secondary structure includes four short double-helical elements and three loops (D, anti-codon, and T loops). Further hydrogen bonds mediate the characteristic L-shaped molecular structure. tRNAs have two regions of fundamental functional importance: the anti-codon, which is responsible for specific mRNA codon recognition, and the 3' end, to which the tRNAs corresponding amino acid is attached (by aminoacyl-tRNA synthetases). tRNAs cope with the degeneracy of the genetic code in two manners: having more than one tRNA (with a specific anti-codon) for a particular amino acid; and 'wobble' base-pairing, i.e. permitting non-standard base-pairing at the 3rd anti-codon position.
Source: RNAcentral
GAUCGCGUGGUCCAGCGGCUAAGACACCUGCAUGACACGCAGGAAAUCGAAGGUUCGAUUCCUUCCGCGAUCAC